This 145-nucleotide ribosomal RNA is filed under the name Mus musculus (house mouse). Lineage: Eukaryota; Metazoa; Chordata; Mammalia; Rodentia; Muridae. The record is from RNAcentral.
AUCUAUGGUCACACUGCCCUGAACAAGACUGAUCUUAUCUGAUCUCAGAAGCUAAGCAGGCUUGGGUCUUGGUAGUAGAAGCUAAGCAGAGUAAGAAUGGGUUAGUAUUUGGAUGGGAGACUCACAAUCAGGGAUACUGUCCAUC